GAAAAUAUUAUUCUUUUGUUUCCUUUUCUGCCAUCAUUCUUUUUCAUGCAGGAUUGACAUGAGACUUGGUUUGAUUAUUCUCAGGAGAAGAGGCCAGUCUGCGGUUACAUUGUGCUCUGUAUCAGUGCCCGUGAAACCUCUGGAAGGAAAUGAAAGAUAUAUUUUUCAAGAACAUGGAAAGAAGAAGAUAGCUGUCACUGAUUAAAGCAAUACAACAAGGACAACAAAGCGCCUGUAAUUUUACCCGCAUGGAAAAGGAAUUCUCUGCAGAGACAUGCAAAGGUGAGAAAGAGUUCUACCUGCUCUUGCAACGUGCUCUGAAUAAAUAUCAUUAGAAAUGUGCAAAACAGGCUU
Molecule: long non-coding RNA, 354 nt
Filed under: Naja naja (Indian cobra)
Lineage: Eukaryota; Metazoa; Chordata; Lepidosauria; Squamata; Elapidae
Description: lncRNA (ENSNNAG00000001488.1)
Source: RNAcentral